Molecule: ribosomal RNA, 987 nt
Filed under: Microchloropsis gaditana
Lineage: Eukaryota; Eustigmatophyceae; Eustigmatales; Monodopsidaceae
Description: bacterial LSU rRNA
Rfam family: Bacterial large subunit ribosomal RNA
Source: RNAcentral
AACGGCGGCCGUAACAAUAACGGUCCUAAGGUAGCGAAAUUCCUUGUCGGGUAAGUUCCGACCUGCACGAAUGGCGUAACGACUUCCCCGCUGUCUCCAACAUCGACUCAGCGAAAUUGAAUUGCCUGUCAAGAUGCAGGCUUCCCGCGGUUAGACGGAAAGACCCCGUGCACCUUUACUACAGCUUCACACUGGCAUCAGGCCAAGCAUGUGCAGGAUAGGUGGUAGGCUUCGAAACCGGGACGCCAGUCUCGGUGGAGCCUCCCUUGAGAUACCACCCUUGCAUUGCUUGAUGUCUAACCGCGAUCCCUUAUCGGGUUCCGGGACCCUGUGUGGCGGGUAGUUUGACUGGGGCGGUCGCCUCCUAAAGCGUAACGGAGGCGCGCGAAGGUUGGCUCAGAGCGGUCGGAAAUCGCUCGUUGAGUGCAAUGGCAGAAGCCAGCCUGACUGCGAGACUGACAAGUCGAGCAGAGUCGAAAGACGGCCAUAGUGAUCCGGUGGUCCCGAGUGGAAGGGCCAUCGCUCAACGGAUAAAAGGUACGCCGGGGAUAACAGGCUGAUACUGCCCAAGAGUCCAUAUCGACGGCAGUGUUUGGCACCUCGAUGUCGGCUCAUCUCAUCCUGGGGCUGGAGCAGGUCCCAAGGGUACGGCUGUUCGCCGUUUAAAGAGGUACGUGAGCUGGGUUUAGAACGUCGUGAGACAGUUCGGUCCCUAUCUGCCGUGGGUGUAGGAUACUUGAGAGGAGUUGCCCCUAGUACGAGAGGACCGGGGUGAACGAUCCACUGGUGGACCUGUUGUUGCGCCAGCAGCAGUGCAGGGUAGCUAUGAUCGGAAAGGAUAACCGCUGAAGGCAUCUAAGCGGGAAGCCCCCCUCAAAACAAGGUAUCCCCGAGGGCCGAGAUAGACCAUCUCGUCGAUAGGCCGGAGAUGUAAGCGCAGCAAUGCGUUCAGUUGACCGGUACUAAUUGCCCGAUAGGCUUGAUUUG